RNAcentral lists this long non-coding RNA (223 nucleotides) under Brassica rapa (field mustard). RNAcentral describes it as "long non-coding RNA (BRAP_LNC006721)". Lineage: Eukaryota; Viridiplantae; Streptophyta; Magnoliopsida; Brassicales; Brassicaceae. The record is from RNAcentral.
CAACACGUAACAAUUUUAGUACCUAUCAACUUAAGGUGAAAAGUUCAUGCAAUUAUUUGAAGAAAACACUUUAAAAAUAAAAAGUAUUAUGUGCUUCACCAAUUUGGCAAAUUGUGUAAUUCAGAAGUGUUUCACUAAUGCUUUAUCUAUUUCUCCUUUGCAUAGUGCUUUUUCCGUCACUUACAACAACUAUAUAUAUAUAUAAUACAUAAAUAAAUUUGGC